Rosa chinensis is the source of this 1776-nucleotide long non-coding RNA. RefSeq lists it as uncharacterized. The record is from RefSeq and is a predicted model, not a curated record. Lineage: Eukaryota; Viridiplantae; Streptophyta; Magnoliopsida; Rosales; Rosaceae. The transcript is spliced from 2 exons.
CGACAAUUCGAAGAAGUAGAGAGAAGCCCAGAGCUCUCGACCCGUUUACACGACCUGACGAGCUACGUAGUGAUCGACCGGAACCUCUCCAUUUGGCGAUGAUAGGGCGGCGCACCGGUGCCGUUCGGUUCGUCUUGACGACGCCGACAUGCCUCUUGUCACGGAUCGUCCAUGCAAGGAGCGAGGAGAGAAAAUCGAGGCUCGAAAUUUUCUAACUUUCUGGCGGUUCCGCAGCAUUUUCCGGCGAUCGUUUGUCGUGCAUGAGGUAUGAAGUGUGACCUGCUCUUCGAGCUCUACAUGUCCGUAUAAUCAGUUUUCAAUUUCGGUUGGGUAUUGACGGAUUGAUGAUUUGUGUUUUUUGGUGUCGUCGGAGUUCACUGUUCACGGCAGCUUCCUUGUGUUUUUGGGUUCAUUCCCGACAACAAUUCUCGUCCUAGAACUUGAAUUGGAGCUCGGUUAUGUUCAAUUCAUGGAACGGUUUGGUUGGAGAGCUCGCUGGCGUUCGCUGCUGGAAAUUCCAGUAGAUAACAAGGUGAGCUAUUUCUCAUGGAGAAUUGAAAUCAGUUUUGUGUUUAUCUUCAAGUCUUCUGCCUGAAAUUAUUGGAAUGGAAGUUUGUUAAUCGAAGUGCUAUGUAUUGGCUUGUUAUGUGCCGGGUAAAAUUGUGGAGGAGUGAGCAAAGGAAGGGUUUUUCCCAGCUACUGUGUUCUUCGUCAAAGGGAGUGAACCCAUCUGUUUUAGUCUUGUUUGGAAUUGAGGUUAGUUGGGCUCUCCUUUGAUGAUAUUGAAACAUAAAAAUUUGGUUAAUCACCUGAUGAUUAGAACUUGGUUAAAAUGAUUUUUGUUUGCCUCUGUCAAGUUCAUGAGUGGAAGGCCGCAAGAAGGGACUUUGUGGAGCUGGACCAAACUUGGGUGUGGCACUCUAGAAUGAGAGUGGUUACUAUGAUUUUCACCGAAGGGACUCUAGUUGCCCAAAAUGGGAAAGGUGGUGGUGUUGGCCUAGAAAAGCAAAUGGAGUCAAAGCUGCGAUAUUCCAGGUAGGGGAUUCUAGACUCGACUCAGGUAGUAACUUUUAUGCAUGUACUUUAUAGAAAUUAUUGAUGCAUGAAAAAUGUGUUUUCGAUUCUUCUAUGAGAUAUUGUUUGAUGACCUGAGAGUGAGAGGAGCAUAGCGACUUCCUUGGGUUUCGAUCCCCUAAACCUCCGGAGGGGCUGUAUGGACUGAAGAGUGUCUGACAUCCGUUGAGGUGUGGCACUGCUUCUAGGUGAUACGGCGUAAGUGGACACUCUCUCUACACCUUGCCAGUGUAAACGAUAUUAAUCGUGGUAAGGUUGUAGUUGGCAUAGCCAUCGGUCAUCAGGUCUGUUUCAUUCUUUUGGGCCCUACUAUAUUUUUAUAAACGAACUACGGUUUGUGGUUUCGAACAUUUUUAUCUAUAUGCAUUGUUUCUCACUUACUUUGUCGGCACCUAUAUUUUAAAUUAUUUUUGCACCUAGUUGGGGUAGAGUCUUAUUAAGCAGCGAGGACGAAAGCUCACCCCUACAACAGUUUGUGGAUGCAAGUACUGUGUAUGAAGACGGGAUAGCUAGAUGACGCUGGGUAUGGCUUAGUUACUUUAUAUUUCAAAUUAUGUCAUUGACGGAGUUAGAUCCGCGUGACAGGUUCACUUAUUUCCUUUACUCCCGUGUAACUUCUUUACCGAGGUUGUGAUUAUUUGUAAAAUACCUCUUUUGUAUAUUUUUUGGACUUUGGCCUUCAACCGGACGAACAUUCGAUAA